Molecule: ribosomal RNA, 491 nt
Filed under: uncultured eukaryote
Lineage: Eukaryota
Description: bacterial SSU rRNA
Rfam family: Eukaryotic small subunit ribosomal RNA
Source: RNAcentral
UAGUUAUAUGCUAACUUCUGAGACUAAGCCAUGCAUGUUCUUGUAUGAGUUUUUAACUGAAACGGUGGACGGCUCAUUAAAAAGGUAUUUAGCCCUUUCUUUCACUCGUCUUAGCGGAUAUGCUUGGGAAAUCUGAGCCUAAUACGUGUGGUAGUUCUGAGCAAAGCUGAUGCUUUGUGCUUUAAAGUGAUGUUUUAUGCAUAAGACACACUCUUUGAUAUUAGUAGUUUAUCUACAGUCCGAAAGGUGGAAUUCCUACCUAUCAGCGGGGCGCUGUGGUAGUUUCACAGCGGUGCUUCAACGGGUAACGGAGAAUUAGGGUUUGAUUCCGGAGAGGGAGCCUGAGAGAUGGCUGCUACAUCCACGGAUAACAGCAGGCGCGCAACUUAUCCAAUCUUGUAAAAGGGAGGUAGUUAGGAGGAGUAGUGGGAACAGCUUUUUAGCCGUUUACUGCAAUGGAGGGUCAGCGUUAAGGGUUCUGAGAAACAACU